RNAcentral lists this ribosomal RNA (484 nucleotides) under uncultured bacterium. RNAcentral's name for it is "partial 16S ribosomal RNA". It matches the Rfam family "Bacterial small subunit ribosomal RNA", at positions 30 to 507 of the family's 1533-position model. The record is from RNAcentral.
AUUGAACGCUGGCGGCAGGCCUAACACAUGCAAGUCGAGCGGAUGAAGGGAGCUUGCUCCUGGAUUCAGCGGCGGACGGGUGAGUAAUGCCUAGGAAUCUGCCUGGUAGUGGGGGAUAACGUCCAGAAACGGGCGCUAAUACCGCAUACGUCCUGAGGGAGAAAGUGGGGGAUCUUCGGACCUCACGCUAUCAGAUGAGCCUAGGUCGGAUUAGCUAGUUGGUGGGGUAAAGGCCUACCAAGGCGACGAUCCGUAACUGGUCUGAGAGGAUGAUCAGUCACACUGGAACUGAGACACGGUCCAGACUCCUACGGGAGGCAGCAGUGGGGAAUAUUGGACAAUGGGCGAAAGCCUGAUCCAGCCAUGCUGCGUGUGUGAAGAAGGUCUUCGGAUUGUAAAGCACUUUAAGUUGGGAGGAAGGGCAGUAAGUUAAUACCUUGCUGUUUUGACGUUACCAACAGAAUAAGCACCGGCUAACUUCGUG